GAUGAACGCUGGCGGCGUGCCUAAUACAUGCAAGUCGAGCGAACGGACGAGAAGCUUGCUUCUCUGAUGUUAGCGGCGGACGGGUGAGUAACACGUGUAUAACCUACCUAUAAGACUGGGAUAACUUCGGGAAACCGGAUCUAAUACCGUAUAAUAUUUUGAACCGCAUGGUUCAAAAGUGAAAGACGGUCUUGCUGUCACUUAUAGAUGGAUCCGCGCUGCAUUAGCUAGUUGGUAAGGUAACGGCUUACCAAGGCAACGAUGCAUAGCCGACCUGAGAGGGUGAUCGGCCACACUGGAACUGAGACACGGUCCAGACUCCUACGGGAGGCAGCAGUAGGGAAUCUUCCGCAAUGGGCGAAAGCCUGACGGAGCAACGCCGCGUGAGUGAUGAAGGUCUUCGGAUCGUAAAACUCUGUUAUUAGGGAAGAACAGAUGUGUAAGUAACUGUGCACAUCUUGACGGUACCUAAUCAGAAAGCCACGGCUAACUACGUG
Molecule: ribosomal RNA, 497 nt
Filed under: uncultured bacterium
Lineage: Bacteria
Description: partial 16S ribosomal RNA
Rfam family: Bacterial small subunit ribosomal RNA
Source: RNAcentral